GGGCAACCGGCGCUCCCUAGACCCCCAACGUCAGUGUGGCCUGCUUCCCCGCAGUGUCCAGGAGAGAAGGGGCAGGGGGCUCCUGCCGAGGCUCCCAUCAUCCUCAGCUCGCCCCGCACCUCCAAGACAGACUCAUAUGAACUGGUGUGGCGGCCUCGGCAUGAGGGCAGUGGCCGGACGCCAAUCCUCUACUAUGUGGUGAAACACCGCAAGGUCACAAACUCCUCUGACGAUUGGACCAUCUCUGGCAUUCCAGCCAACCAGCACCGCCUGACCCUCACCAGACUUGACCCCGGGAGCUUGUAUGAAGUGGAGAUGGCAGCUUACAACUGUGCGGGAGAGGGCCAGACAGCCAUGGUCACCUUCCGAACUGGACGGCGGCCCAAACCCGAGAUCAUGGUCAGCAAGGAGCAGCAGAUCCAGAGAGACGACCCUGGAGCCAGUCCCCAGAGCAGCAGCCAGCCAGACCACGGCCGCCUCUCCCGUAAGCCGCUAGCAGCAGGGACGGACGCGCAGUCGGGACUGGAACUGCCUCAGAGGCCUGUUCCCGUGGCUGAAUGGGGUCUUGCUUCUCCCCAGAAGCUCCCGACAGGCCCACCAUCUCCACGGCCUCCGAGACCUCAGUGUACGUGACCUGGAUUCCCCGUGGGAAUGGUGGGUUCC
Molecule: small RNA, 663 nt
Filed under: Pan troglodytes (chimpanzee)
Lineage: Eukaryota; Metazoa; Chordata; Mammalia; Primates; Hominidae
Description: processed transcript
Source: RNAcentral